CAGUCGCCGCGGGAAAACGGAGGGUGCAAGCGUUAAUCGGAAUUACUGGGCGUAAAGCGCACGCAGGCGGUCUGUUAAGUCAGAUGUGAAAUCCCCGAGCUUAACUUGGGAACUGCAUUUGAAACUGGCAAGCUAGAGUGUGUCAGAGGAUGGUGGAAUUCCCGGUGUAGCGGUGAAAUGCGUAGAGAUCGGGAGGAACAUCAGUGGCGAAGGCGGCCAUCUGGGACAACACUGACGCUGAGGCACGAAAGCGUGGGGAGCAACCAGGAUUAGAGACCCCCGUAGUCCCUGUCUCUUAUAC
This 301-nucleotide ribosomal RNA is filed under the name uncultured bacterium. RNAcentral's name for it is "partial 16S ribosomal RNA". It matches the Rfam family "Bacterial small subunit ribosomal RNA", at positions 509 to 807 of the family's 1533-position model. The record is from RNAcentral.